RNAcentral lists this ribosomal RNA (253 nucleotides) under uncultured bacterium. RNAcentral describes it as "partial 16S ribosomal RNA". It matches the Rfam family "Bacterial small subunit ribosomal RNA", at positions 524 to 776 of the family's 1533-position model. The record is from RNAcentral.
UACAGAGGUCUCAAGCGUUGUUCGGAUUCAUUGGGCGUAAAGGGCGCGUAGGCUGCGGGGCAAGUCGGGUGUGAAAUCUCAGAGCUCAACUCUGAAACUGCACUCGAUACUGCUUUGCUCGAGGACUGGAGAGGAGAUUGGAAUUCACGGUGUAGCAGUGAAAUGCGUAGAUAUCGUGAGGAACACCAGUGGCGAAGGCGGCGACCUGGGCCAAUAUUGACGCUGAGGUGCGAAAGCGUGGGGAGCAAACAGG